AAAUUGUAUUUUCGGAGUAUGUGGUAAAUAUAUAAUACAGGAAAUUAUCAAAUUCGAUCUUCUCGAAAAUUUAUUUGGAAAAAUUUUAUUUCUUCUUUCCGAUUUAUUUUUUCAUGAAAAGUUUCACGAAUAAUGAAAUAUUUUACACGUACAAGUAUCUAUUAUAAAUAUUCAAUAUUUAAAUGUGUAUGCAUACACACAUACAGGAUAUAUAUAUGACCUAUUUAAAUCGACUUAUUUAAGUAGCGAUCAAAAUGAUUGAUAAAACUAGCAAAUGUUUCGAAAACAUUUAGUUUCGAGUGGCACGUAAUGAGAUGUAAACUUUCCCUGGAUGCGUGAAGGACAUUCGAAGGUCAACUUUGUUUUCUCAAAUUGAAUCAUAUAUAGAUAUAUUUUAUAACAUACCGGUUAAUUUAAAUCGCCAUCAAGUCAUACGACGAAAAAUCAUUUGUUCGGAACAUUAAAAAAAAAAUCUUCGAUUAUUAAAACUUGCUGCAUUGAAAGAGUACGCGAAACGAUGAUCCAUCUAUUUAUAUUUUUCUUGUUCUUCGUAGUGCAAUAAAUUAUAAAAUUAUAAAAUGUAAAAAAACAAAGUUGAACUUGAUAUAUAUAAUCUUCACGUAUUCAAUUAAAUCUUUCAUCCCGUUACACGCUUUUAAAAUCAAAUUUUCGAAAAUAAUGGAUUUUAACGAGUCAACUUAACGUAAUCUUACACACGUACGUGCGAUAUAUACAUUUAUAUAUUUAUUCCAUAAAAUAUAUUGCUCAGUUUUUCCAAAAUCGGUUGAACGAUGCCGUCGUUUGUAAUCACGUAUACCGCUCGUCAUCAAUACGGCGAUGGAGAAACGAGAAACGUAUUUUAAAAAGGUUCCUCAAUCAUUGACUCGAAAAACACGCGAUCGAGCGAUUAGCGGAGCAAAGCUUGUUUACUCUCACCGUCACGUUCGUUCGGUUUAAUCGGCGGGACUCGGCUAUUCGGUCCAGCUUUUUCGAAAGAGAGUAACGACGGGGCGGGGAUUUUUUACGAGGAAAGUAAAACGAAACGGCCCAUAAAACCGUACCACGCCGCAAUUCCAUCUCUCUUCGGCACCGUCUGAAAUCGCAUAAACUUUGCAACAAACUUCCUCAUCUUGCGCGCGCAUCCUUCCCCCACCACGGCCGCGCUAACGAAACGAAGAGAGAAGAUGGAAACACGGUGUUGAACGGUGGCACGCUUUACGACCCUCGAAUAUCUGGACUUUCAGGAAUUUUUUAACUUCGGAACUGCGUAGAUUAUUCUUGCCAACCGAACGAGUUAACAUUCCCGCGGCCGACGUAUUAUUGGCCACGUCUUCGGUUCACUACGUUUUCGAAUAAUUAUCGCGAAAUCGUGAUUCUUCGUCGGUUAACAGCUCGGAGGAUAUUUUACGACACGAAAUGGCUGUCGGAGAUAUUCGGUAGAUGUGUAUGUGACGGGUUCGCAGAAAAUUGAUAUCUCCGCGAAUGUUAAUGAGAUGCUUUCGUAUAUUUUUAUUACGAGGCGAUUAUAAAUUGCAAUUAUAAAGAAAUAAAAAGUGGUUUCUGUGUGUGUGUUACGGUAAUACACGUAAGGAUUAUUCAUCGAGAGAAUUUUUAACGGGCAAGGAAACGGUGUUUUUCGUAAUCGUCAGAUUUACUUCUCUUUGUAAGAUUUGAAAAUGAAAUUGAAGCUCGAGAGACAGCUCGUUUCGACGCUAAUGGAGAAAGUACAUCCGCAGCGGUUGGAUCUCGAGAGAGCAUGCGAGUCAGGGAGGAGUCUCGAAAAAUUAAAAGGGAGAAACAGCAGUCUUCCUCUAUCGAGCAAAUAAGGAUCGACCUUCGAGAGAUUCCACCGACGCUGCUUUCGUCUCCUUGACCCCGAUCGAAUCCUCGAUAUUCGAUUCGAGCAAACACUGCGUUCGGAAAAUUGGCCUACUACCACCUUUCGUGCCAGCCCCACCAACUCUACCACGGGCUUUUAGAUCGAUUCGAUAGAUGGGACGCGAAAAACGAUUGAAAUCUUUUCGUUUUAUAGUUUGACCUUAGAAACACGAUAAUUUUAACGAUCCUUUAUUCUGAGAAGAGAAAUUAGGUAGGAUCGAUGAGAGUUCUCAUUACAUCCUUUCGUGAUCUUUUCCAAAAUUAUAUUUUUCUUAUUUAUUCGAAUUAUAUCGAUUUCUUUAGAAAAAAAAUAUAGUCAUAUUGUAUCACGAAAUAAAAUGAAAAAUAAAAGAAAGAAAAA
Molecule: long non-coding RNA, 2239 nt
Organism: Apis cerana (Asiatic honeybee)
Lineage: Eukaryota; Metazoa; Arthropoda; Insecta; Hymenoptera; Apidae
Source: RefSeq, a predicted model, not a curated record